Molecule: long non-coding RNA, 682 nt
Organism: Cyprinus carpio (common carp)
Lineage: Eukaryota; Metazoa; Chordata; Actinopteri; Cypriniformes; Cyprinidae
Source: Ensembl
UAUUCCAGAGUUUUGGAGCCAAAUGUGAAAAAGCUCUAACUCCUUUAGUGGACUUUAGCAACCUUAGGGAUCAGGAUGGACUGUAGCAUGAUAGAAGACUAGUUAAGUACGCAGGAGCUAAACUGUAGGUGCCAGGUUUGAAUUGAUGUCUUUUAUUUUGAAAUUUUUACUUUCAGUUUGUUACGUCACUUGAAACAGGUGCAUAUUAUCUGUUAGUUUGCAUGUGGUUAGCAGGUAGGAAGGGGGUGAGCAGCUGGGAUGCUCACUUUCUGUUGACCGUUUUCAUUUAAUUUAGUUUCAUUUCAUUUCAUUGCUUCUUGCUUACUUUACUGUUAUUUCAAUGUUACAAUAAUCCACCAGGAUUUGCAGUGGAAGCGCGUCAUCCUUUACUCCCUCUACUCAGCCUCUUAGCGGUUACUGGCUGCCGCUAUAUAAACCAUUAAGGGCCUUGUAGACCACAAUUUCCAGUCAGCACUUAGGGAGACUGUAAAAUCUCGGCAACUAUUGGAACAGCCACUCCAACACUUCAGUUACAGACUCUCUAGGAUCUCCUCAAAUGCACAAGCAGUAAUGGGUGAGUUUUCAGAGUUACAAAAAAUGUUGUGAAAUACCAACUAUAAUUAAAAGAUACUAAAAAUACAAAAAAAAAAUAGAAUUAAAAAAAAUGUAAAAUGCAUUGUAU